UUGAAUUUGAUUCUUGUGGUGUUUGUAUCAAGGACACCAAGACGAAGACAAUUCUUCUCAGGUGCACAAGUCUCUGACCUCUAUAUUCUUUUUUUGAUUGAACAAUUAUAUUUCAUUAAUAUCAGCAAAUGUACAAGGUGAAGUUUUAGUAGUGACUUUGACUUAUUACUAUUCAUUUACAUACAAUCAUCUAUUCUAAGAAAACUACCAAUAUGCACUAAUUACAACUCAGUAUUGGGACAUCUAAUAUAGACUAUAACUAUGAAAAACUAUUAAGUUGUCGCAAGCCAUUUUGCCAUCGACUACAAUUCAUGCCUCGAAUAUGAAUAAGUAGUACAAUUUCUCUGCAUAUCUGAUUCUCCACAUAGAAUUUUCUGUCAAAUCUGAUGCUAUUCCCCUCCCUCCAGAUAAGUGCAACAGUGUUGACAAAUACACAGGUUGUUAUAGUAUUAAGCCCCAUUCUGCUCUUUGCUUUGCUGCAGAUCUAUUUCAACUCUGUUUCCCAAUCACCAACAGAUCUGUGGUGCCCCAGCCAAGGACAGAGUCUAGACCAUAGACUCCUUGUAAUUGAACACUCAAAAAACAAAUGAUUAAAGGCUUCUGUACUCUGAUUACAAAACACACAAGUUACAGGAACUUGUAUGCCAAAUUUCUGCAAUCUGUC
This 664-nucleotide long non-coding RNA is filed under the name Nicotiana benthamiana. Its description in RNAcentral is "long non-coding RNA (NBEN_LNC005906)". Lineage: Eukaryota; Viridiplantae; Streptophyta; Magnoliopsida; Solanales; Solanaceae. The record is from RNAcentral.